This is a non-coding RNA of Cajanus cajan (pigeon pea), 1586 nucleotides long. The record is from RefSeq and is a predicted model, not a curated record. NCBI's taxonomy places the organism in Eukaryota, Viridiplantae, Streptophyta, Magnoliopsida, Fabales, Fabaceae.
UACAAAAAGUUCUUGUGUUUUGUGAGACCCAAAAAGUAAAGUCAAGAGGGAUGGCAAGAAGAUGGUCCUUUUACAUGGGGCACUUGUGGUGAUCAUAGCCCUCGAAUUCAAUUAUGUGGGCUUACUCACGCUGUUCAAAGAAGCCACACUGCAAGGGAUGAACAACCAUGUUUUUGUUGCCUAUUCUUAUGCUGUUUCUACCACUACUUUUUCCUAUCACUUUUCUCAACUGAAGAUCAAGAGUGGUUCCUCCACUUAGUUUCUCCAUAAUAUCCAAAAUGAUUCUUCUUGGGGUGAUAGGAACUUUAUCUCAGAUAAUGGGAUAUGUUGGCAUUGGCUACAGUUCUCCAACACUUUCUUCAUCAAUUGCCAAUCUGGGGCCUGCUUUCGCUUUCAUGCUUGCAGUCAUUUUCAGGUUAACUUUUUUCUACUCGAGUAUAUCAUAUUAUGUGCAACAAAUCUAAAAAAACAUAUUAAAACAUAUGCUACAUACUUCUCUAGCAGGCAAUGAUAAACUAAAACAAGCACACUUGAUAGUGCUCAAAAGAGGCAUGAAAAACUUAGAACUCCACCACUUUAUUCAAUAUUUUCAUAUUAAUGCCAUGUGCCAAUGAGUCAAGGUUUCAAUUUGGUUGGGAGUUACAAAAACUGAUAAAGGAAAAGUUAACUAAGUAUGAAUCAAGAUGCUUAUUAGUUAUUACUAUUCACUAUCAAUAUUAGAGUUCAUGUAUAUUAUAUUCUAGAAGUUGCAACUAGGCAAUUGUUUGUUUCCAAUUCUUCCAUAUAUAGUAAUUAAGUAUAAGUAAUGCGGUACUAGAUACUAGAUUUUAAACUACUGGUAUCAUAGAGUGCUUAGAUAUUAACCACCAUGAAUAAAUAUCUCAAUCUAUCCACUUAUUUUGUUUUCUCUUAUCCUCUAUAAGGAUGGAAUAAAUAGCUACAAAAAGUAGUAGUCAAGCUGAGGUAAUGGGAAGCAUAAUAUCACUAACAGGUGCAUUAAUUGUAUUGACUUUGUACAAAGGUCCAUCAAUCAUCAAAGGCAAGGCUCAUUCCCAUCUUUCCUUAUCAGUUCAGCAACCAAUUAGCUUUCUUAGAUAUGAGAUGCAAAUUGGGCCACUGCAGGCAUUCUGCUGACAGCUGAAUAUUUACUAAUUUCAUAAUUUUUCAUCUUACAGGUGGAUAUACUAAAAGUGUUCCCGGAUGAAGUAACACUGAUCUUCUUUUGCACUAGGACUGCCACUGUCAUAUAUACACUUGUAGCUUUAUUUGUGGUGCCAAACGCAAGUGCUUGGAAAAUAGGAUUAGAGAUUUCAUUAGUCUUCAUUGUUUGGUCUGUAAGAAAUACCAUUCUAACUUUCCAACUACUACUUCAUUUUGGCAAAAACAAGUACAUUUUUAAAGCAAGUAAAGUUUAUUGACGACAUUGUUUUUAGGGAACAUUUCAAGAAGUUAUGGGCAAUAUAGUUUCCACCUGCGUACUACGCUUAAAGGACCCUGUCUAUGUAACAUCAUUCACGCCAUUCACUGUUGUUAUUGUUGUUGCCAUGGGUAUUAUGUUCCUUGGUGAUACUUUUCACCUAGGAAGG